This 252-nucleotide ribosomal RNA is filed under the name uncultured bacterium. Its description in RNAcentral is "partial 16S ribosomal RNA". It matches the Rfam family "Bacterial small subunit ribosomal RNA", at positions 524 to 776 of the family's 1533-position model. The record is from RNAcentral.
UACGUAUGGUGCGAGCGUUGUCCGGAUUUACUGGGCGUGAAGGGGGCGCAGGCGGAUCGUUAAGUCAGUGGUCAAAUUGAGGGGCUCAACCCCUUCCCGCCAUUGAAACUGGCGAUCUUGAGUGGAAGAGAAGUAUGCGGAAUGCGUGGUGUAGCGGUGAAAUGCAUAGAUAUCACGCAGAACCCCGAUUGCGAAGGCAGCAUGCCGGCUUCCGACUGACGCUGAAGCACGAAAGCGUGGGGAUCGAACAGG